CAUUCCGAACACAGAAGUUAAGCUCUCUAGCGCUGAUGGUACUUGGUGGGAAACUGCCUGGGAGAGUAGGACGUAGCCACGU
RNAcentral lists this ribosomal RNA (82 nucleotides) under Clostridioides difficile. The record is from RNAcentral. Lineage: Bacteria; Bacillati; Bacillota; Clostridia; Peptostreptococcales; Peptostreptococcaceae.